ACGGGUGAGGAAUGCGUCGGAAUCUGCCUUUUUGUGGGGGAUAACGUAGGGAAACUUACGCUAAUACCGCAUACGACCUACGGGUGAAAGUGGGGGACCGCAAGGCCUCACGCAGAAAGAUGAGCCGACGCCGGAUUAGCUAGUUGGCGGGGUAAAGGCCCACCAAGGCGACGAUCCGUAGCUGGUCUGAGAGGAUGAUCAGCCACACUGGAACUGAGACACGGUCCAGACUCCUACGGGAGGCAGCAGUGGGGAAUAUUGGACAAUGGGCGCAAGCCUGAUCCAGCCAUGCCGCGUGAGUGAAGAAGGCCUUCGGGUUGUAAAGCUCUUUUGUUGGGGAAGAAAAGCCUUCGAUUAAUACUCGGGGGUUCUGACGGUACCCAAAGAAUAAGCACCGGCUAACUUCGUGCCAGCAGCCGCGGUAAUACGAAGGGUGCAAGCGUUACUCGGAAUUACUGGGCGUAAAGCGUGCGUAGGUGGUUCGUUAAGUCUGAUGUGAAAGCCCUGGGCUCAACCUGGGAACUGCAUUGGAUACUGGCGAUCUGGAGUGCGGUAGAGGGUGGCGGAAUUCCCGGUGUAGCAGUGA
Molecule: ribosomal RNA, 586 nt
Filed under: uncultured Lysobacter sp.
Lineage: Bacteria; Pseudomonadati; Pseudomonadota; Gammaproteobacteria; Lysobacterales; Lysobacteraceae
Description: bacterial SSU rRNA
Rfam family: Bacterial small subunit ribosomal RNA
Source: RNAcentral